This 490-nucleotide ribosomal RNA is filed under the name uncultured bacterium. RNAcentral describes it as "partial 16S ribosomal RNA". It matches the Rfam family "Bacterial small subunit ribosomal RNA", at positions 28 to 507 of the family's 1533-position model. The record is from RNAcentral.
GAUGAACGCUAGCGAUAGGCUUAACACAUGCAAGUCGAGGGGCAGCAUGGUCUUAGCUUGCUAAGACUGAUGGCGACCGGCGCACGGGUGCGUAACGCGUAUGCAACUUGCCUCACAGAGGGGGAUAACCCGUCGAAAGACGGACUAAUACCGCGUACACUUGGGAUGGGGCAUCCUGACCCAAGGAAAUGAAAUUCGCUGUGAGAUAGGCAUGCGUCCCAUUAGCUAGUUGGUGAGGUAACGGCUCACCAAGGCGACGAUGGGUAGGGGAACUGAGAGGUUGAACCCCCACACUGGUACUGAGACACGGACCAGACUCCUACGGGAGGCAGCAGUGAGGAAUAUUGGUCAAUGGGCGAGAGCCUGAACCAGCCAAGUCGCGUGAAGGAUGACUGUCUUAUGGAUUGUAAACUUCUUGUAUACGGGAAUAACAAGAGCCACGUGUGGCUCCCUGCAUGUACCGUAUGAAUAAGCAUCGGCUAACUCCGUG